GAAAGAGGGAGGGAGAGAGAGAGAGAAGCCAAAGAGAAUCACAGAAAUCGCCCGUAGUUCUUUACUCUCCAGGGUAAAGACCUGGCUGGCCGUACUUCCUACCCUCUGGCUCCAAGAGAUAGCCUUAUAUCCUUCCAAUAAACUCCACUCUCCUGCUCAAGAUAGCUCCCUAUCCCAAGUCCCUUAGUGAGCUCAGACAUAACCAUUUUGAGGCCAGCCCUGGGGUCCACCGGAGAGGAAGGAGCUCUAGCAAGCCUUCUGACUUAGGGGCCAGGGGGGCUCCUGCAGGACAGCAGGCACGAUUUUGAUUUCAGGAGAAAGGGGCAGAGAGAAGGCAGCUCCUCACCACAGACCACCAGCAAGGCCCAUCAUCCCCUGGAGAGUCUUCCUGAUGGGCCAUCUCUCUCUCCUACCACCCCCUGCCUGACCCAGGAAACCCUAACCCUGGGCUAUUCUCAGGUGAAUGGCAGAGCGAUGCUGUGUGCUGGCGGCCCCGCCUCUGGCCCUGAUUUUUAAGAAGGGGAGGGGAAAAAAUAACAGAAGGGAAAAAGUGAACAUGAGUAAUGGGCCUGGAAUGAGGCAUACGAGAUAACACUGAAUAAUAAUGCGUCAAAAACUACAAGAUGUAUUUUUUUUAUUUCCCAGUGGAGUUUCCAUUGCGCUAAUCCAUCACCGUGGAGCAGGCAAGAUUAUGCUUCCCCAAAAAAACUCUGGGAGAUAAAUAUGAGAGGAUCAGUACUGCUGUGGGCUCUGUGAGUGUGGAUUUGGAGAGGGACCCAAGAUGCCUGCGAAGAGGCAAUGAUGGCAGAGCUGAUGAAGCUCCUACAGUCAGGAGAGAGACACAUGACAUACCUCGGGCACUUAGUGUGGCUCACCCUCCAGAGCACUCAACUGAUGUCCCACCUGUUCUGGGAAGACCCUACUCGGGCCCAGCCUCUAGCAGGUCCUGCCCACAGCUGGCCUGCUGGUCCUUCAUAUAAAGGGGAGCCAUGUUCUGCACCUGGAGCCAGAGUGAAUCAGUGAGUGAGGAGGAUUGUUCCAGAAGGAUCCGGAUGAGGACCCCUGCCUCC
RNAcentral lists this long non-coding RNA (1070 nucleotides) under Felis catus (domestic cat). RNAcentral describes it as "lncRNA (ENSFCAG00000052393.1)". Lineage: Eukaryota; Metazoa; Chordata; Mammalia; Carnivora; Felidae. The record is from RNAcentral.